RNAcentral lists this long non-coding RNA (606 nucleotides) under Lathyrus oleraceus (garden pea). Its description in RNAcentral is "Pisum sativum (pea) long non-coding RNA (PSAT_LNC007369)". The record is from RNAcentral. Lineage: Eukaryota; Viridiplantae; Streptophyta; Magnoliopsida; Fabales; Fabaceae.
CUCUCUAUCUUUCUCAUAUGCUUGUUGUCUGAAAAUAUUUGUGAGAGUUGAGGGAGUUCGAUUCACUGAGUUGGAGAGCGUGAGAGGGUUUUGUUGAUGUCAUAAGAAGGAUGAGUUUCGAGUGCGUGAGAUUGCCAUUGUUGGGGAAGGUGGAGUUCGUAAGGUGAGAGAGAUGAGAAGAAGACGAGCUUCUGUUUUGCUUUUUUUCGUUUCCAUUUUUCUGUUUUCUUUUUUUUAAUUUUUUUAAUUUUUUUAAUUUUUUUAAUUUUUUUUUAAUUUGUUUUUUAACAGAAAAAAAAAAACAUAAAAAUGUUUAUAUGUUUUUUUUUUGUUUUUUUUGUUUUAGCCGGUUCAUAUAUUUAAGGUAGUAUUUCACUAGCAUAUGAUCUUGAGUGGUCUGGUGGAGAGGAGUGAUUUCAUGGUCUUGAGUGGGGUGGGUUCAAUACCCGGAUUUGUUGCUUUGGUUUUCCAACAUUUUUUGAUCUUUCCAUAUUUUUCUAGCCUUACCAUUUAACUAACAUGUUUCUAUCAUUUAUUCAUUUUUAUUGUUUUAUUUUUAAUAUGACUUAUGUGAUUAUUCAUUUUUUUUAGGAUCUAUGUGAAUUA